GGGGACCUACGGGAGGCAGCAGUGGGGAAUAUUGCACAAUGGGGGAAACCCUGAUGCAGUGACGCCGCGUGAGCGAUGAAGUAUUUCGGUAUGUAAAGCUCUAUCAGCAGGGAAGAAAAUGACGGUACCUGACUAAGAAGCCCCGGCUAACUACGUGCCAGCAGCCGCGGUAAUACGUAGGGGGCAAGCGUUAUCCGGAUUUACUGGGUGUAAAGGGAGCGUAGACGGUUCUGCAAGCCAGCUGUGAAAGCCCGGGGCUCAACCACGGGACUGCAUUUG
This 279-nucleotide ribosomal RNA is filed under the name uncultured bacterium. RNAcentral describes it as "partial 16S ribosomal RNA". It matches the Rfam family "Bacterial small subunit ribosomal RNA", at positions 333 to 629 of the family's 1533-position model. The record is from RNAcentral.